This 76-nucleotide transfer RNA is filed under the name Escherichia coli. Its description in RNAcentral is "tRNA-Val(gac)". It matches the Rfam family "tRNA". Rfam says of the family: Transfer RNA (tRNA) molecules are approximately 80 nucleotides in length. Their secondary structure includes four short double-helical elements and three loops (D, anti-codon, and T loops). RNAcentral also lists the same sequence under 5 other names. Lineage: Bacteria; Pseudomonadati; Pseudomonadota; Gammaproteobacteria; Enterobacterales; Enterobacteriaceae. The record is from RNAcentral.
GCGUCCGUAGCUCAGUUGGUUAGAGCACCACCUUGACAUGGUGGGGUCGGUGGUUCGAGUCCACUCGGACGCACCA